GGUUAAGUGACUAAGCGUACACGGUGGAUGCCUUGGCAGUCAGAGGCGAUGAAGGACGUAUUAACUUGCGAUAAGCCCAGAUUAGGCAGUAAAAGCCACUUGAGUCUGGGAUUUCCGAAUGGGGAAACCCACUUACAUAAGUAAGUAUCCUUAACUGAAUACAUAGGUUAAGGAGGCGAACCGGGGGAACUGAAACAUCUAAGUACCCCGAGGAAAAGAAAUCAACCGAGAUUCCGAAAGUAGCGGCGAGCGAAAUUGGACUAGCCCUUAAGCUUUUAAUGAUACAGGUGAAGGCUCUGGAAAGUGCCGCGAUACAGGGUGAUAGCCCCGUAACCGACAUGUCAUUUUAAGUGAAAUCGAGUAAGGCGGGACACGUGAUAUCCUGUCUGAAUAUGGGGGGACCAUCCUCCAAGGCUAAAUACUACUGACUGACCGAUAGUGAACCAGUACCGUGAGGGAAAGGCGAAAAGAACCCCUGUGAGGGGAGUGAAAUAGAACCUGAAACCGUGUACGUACAAGCAGUAGGAGCCUCCUUUGUGGGGUGACUGCGUACCUUUUGUAUAAUGGGUCAGCGACUUAUAUUCAGUGGCAAGGUUAACCAUUUAGGGGAGCCGUAGGGAAACCGAGUCUUAACUGGGCGUUUAGUCUCUGGAUAUAGACCCGAAACCAGGUGAUCUAGCCAUGGGCAGGUUGAAGGUUGAGUAACAUCAACUGGAGGACCGAACCGACUAAUGUUGAAAAAUUAGCGGAUGACUUGUGGCUAGGGGUGAAAGGCCAAUCAAACCUGGAGAUAGCUGGUUCUCCCCGAAAGCUAUUUAGGUAGCGCCUCGGACGAAUACUACUGGGGGUAGAGCACUGUUAAGGCUAGGGGGUCAUCCCGACUUACCAACCCUUUGCAAACUCCGAAUACCAGUAAGUACUAUCCGGGAGACACACGGCGGGUGCUAACGUCCGUCGUGGAGAGGGAAACAACCCAGACCGCCAGCUAAGGUCCCAAAUUAUAGCUAAGUGGGAAACGAUGUGGGAAGGCUAAAACAGCUAGGAUGUUGGCUUAGAAGCAGCCAUCAUUUAAAGAAAGCGUAAUAGCUCACUAGUCGAGUCGGCCUGCGCGGAAGAUGUAACGGGGCUAAGCUAUAAACCGAAGCUGCGGCUGCAUACUUUGUAUGCGGGGUAGGGGAGCGUUCUGUAAGCCGUUGAAGGUGUAUCGUAAGGUAUGCUGGAGGUAUCAGAAGUGCGAAUGCUGACAUGAGUAACGAUAAUGGGGGUGAAAAACCUCCACGCCGGAAGACCAAGGGUUCCUGUCCAACGUUAAUCGGGGCAGGGUAAGUCGACCCCUAAGGCGAGGCUGAAAAGCGUAGUCGAUGGGAAACGGGUUAAUAUUCCCGUACUUCUUACAAUUGCGAUGGGGGGACGGAGAAGGCUAGGUGGGCCUGGCGACGGUUGUCCAGGUUCAAGUGCGUAGGCUUGAGAGUUAGGUAAAUCCGGCUCUCUUUAAGGCUGAGACACGACGUCGAGCUGCUACGGCAGUGAAGUCAUUGAUGCCAUGCUUCCAGGAAAAGCCUCUAAGCUUCAGAUUGUAAGGAAUCGUACCCCAAACCGACACAGGUGGUCGGGUAGAGAAUACCAAGGCGCUUGAGAGAACUCGGGUGAAGGAACUAGGCAAAAUGGUACCGUAACUUCGGGAGAAGGUACGCUCUUAACGGUGAAGUCCCUUGCGGAUGGAGCUAUUGAGAGUCGCAGAUACCAGGUGGCUGCAACUGUUUAUUAAAAACACAGCACUGUGCAAAAUCGUAAGAUGACGUAUACGGUGUGACGCCUGCCCGGUGCCGGAAGGUUAAUUGAUGGGGUUAGACUUAGGUCGAAGCUCUUGAUCGAAGCCCCGGUAAACGGCGGCCGUAACUAUAACGGUCCUAAGGUAGCGAAAUUCCUUGUCGGGUAAGUUCCGACCUGCACGAAUGGCGUAAUGAUGGCCACGCUGUCUCCACCCGAGACUCAGUGAAAUUGAAAUCGCUGUGAAGAUGCAGUGUACCCGCGGCUAGACGGAAAGACCCCGUGAACCUUUACUACAGCUUGGCACUGAACAUUGAGCCUACAUGUGUAGGAUAGGUGGGAGGCUUUGAACCCGUGUCGCCAGAUACGGUGGAGCCAUCCUUGAAAUACCACCCUUGUAUGUUUGAUGUUCUAACUUAGCCCCAUUAUCUGGGGUGAGGACAGUGCCUGGUGGGUAGUUUGACUGGGGCGGUCUCCUCCCAAAGAGUAACGGAGGAGCACGAAGGUGGGCUAAUCACGGUUGGACAUCGUGAGGUUAGUGCAAUGGCAUAAGCCCGCUUGACUGCGAGAAUGACAAUUCGAGCAGGUGCGAAAGCAGGUCAUAGUGAUCCGGUGGUUCUGAAUGGAAGGGCCAUCGCUCAACGGAUAAAAGGUACUCCGGGGAUAACAGGCUGAUACCGCCCAAGAGUUCAUAUCGACGGCGGUGUUUGGCACCUCGAUGUCGGCUCAUCACAUCCUGGGGCUGAAGUCGGUCCCAAGGGUAUGGCUGUUCGCCAUUUAAAGUGGUACGCGAGCUGGGUUUAGAACGUCGUGAGACAGUUCGGUCCCUAUCUGCCGUGGGCGUUGGAGAAUUGAAAGGGGCUGCUCCUAGUACGAGAGGACCGGAGUGGACGAACCUCUGGUGUUCGGGUUGUCAUGCCAAUGGCAUUGCCCGGUAGCUAAGUUCGGAAUCGAUAACCGCUGAAAGCAUCUAAGCGGGAAGCGAGCCUUGAGAUGAGUUCUCCCUGGCAGUUUAACUGUCCUAAAGGGUUGUCGUAGACUACGACGUUGAUAGGCAGGGUGUGUAAGCGUUGUGAGGCGUUGAGCUAACCUGUACUAAUUGCCCGUGAGGCUUAACCAU
RNAcentral lists this ribosomal RNA (2890 nucleotides) under Vibrio sp. JC009. RNAcentral's name for it is "23S ribosomal RNA". It matches the Rfam family "Bacterial large subunit ribosomal RNA". The record is from RNAcentral. Lineage: Bacteria; Pseudomonadati; Pseudomonadota; Gammaproteobacteria; Vibrionales; Vibrionaceae.